RNAcentral lists this long non-coding RNA (246 nucleotides) under Gossypium barbadense (sea-island cotton). RNAcentral describes it as "long non-coding RNA (GBAR_LNC002571)". Lineage: Eukaryota; Viridiplantae; Streptophyta; Magnoliopsida; Malvales; Malvaceae. The record is from RNAcentral.
CUAAAAGCCUCCAUUCUAGCUUCCUCCAUAAGAACCCCACCCUAUUUUUCAUUAGCGAAAAGAAUGUCAUUAAAAUCACCUCCUACUAACCAUGGUAGCAAAUUGUUUCUCCCUAAGCAGCGAAGCAAAUCCCACGUAGCAGAUUUAUCCCUUACAUCCGGCACCCCCAUAAAAUCCCGUAAAUUUCCAGCGUGGAGUAUCUUCCUCUUCUUGGAUUUCAACAUCAAUGUGAUUUUUGGAGAAACU